UAAUACAGAGGGUGCAAGCGUUGUUCGGAAUUAUUGGGCGUAAAGCGCGUGUAGGCGGCUUGGCAAGUCGGGUGUGAAAGCCCUCAGCUCAACUGAGGAAGUGCGCCCGAAACUGCUGAGCUCGAGUGCCGGAGAGGAUGGCGGAAUUCCCCAAGUAGAGGUGAAAUUCGUAGAUAUGGGGAGGAACACCGGUGGCGAAGGCGGCCAUCUGGACGGUGACUGACGCUGAGACGCGAAAGCGUGGGGAGCAAACAGGAUUAGAUACCCUGGUAGUCCACGCCGUAAACGAUGAGAACUAGGUGUCUCGGGAGUUGACCCCUGAGGUGCCGCAGCUAACGCAUUAAGUUCUCCGCCUGGGAAGUACGGUCGCAAGACUA
Molecule: ribosomal RNA, 377 nt
Filed under: uncultured bacterium
Lineage: Bacteria
Description: bacterial SSU rRNA
Rfam family: Bacterial small subunit ribosomal RNA
Source: RNAcentral